RNAcentral lists this non-coding RNA (148 nucleotides) under Chlorocebus sabaeus (green monkey). Lineage: Eukaryota; Metazoa; Chordata; Mammalia; Primates; Cercopithecidae. The record is from Rfam by way of RNAcentral.
GCUGGGCAUGGUGGCUCAUGCCUGUAGUCCUAGCUACUUGGGAGGCUGAGGCAGAAGACUCACUUGAACCUGGGAGGCAGAGGUUGCAGUGAGCCGAGAUCGUGCCACCGCACUCCAGCCUGGGUGACAGAGUGAGAUUCUGUCUCAA